This 253-nucleotide ribosomal RNA is filed under the name uncultured bacterium. RNAcentral describes it as "partial 16S ribosomal RNA". It matches the Rfam family "Bacterial small subunit ribosomal RNA", at positions 524 to 776 of the family's 1533-position model. The record is from RNAcentral.
GACGGAGGAUGCAAGCGUUAUCCGGAAUUAUUGGGCGUAAAGCGUCCGUAGGCGGUUUCAAAAGUCUGUUGUUAGAGCCCACAGCUCAACCGUGGAUCGGCAAUGGAAACUGUGAGACUAGAGAGUGGUAGGGGUAGAGGGAAUUCCUAGUGUAGAGGUGAAAUUCGUAGAUAUUCGGAAGAACACCAGUGGCGAAGGCGACUUACUGGACACAUAUUGACGCUGAGGUGCGAAAGCGUGGGGAGCAAACAGG